GACGAACGCUGGCGGCGUGCUUAACACAUGCAAGUCGAACGGAAAGGCCCUGCUUUUGUGGGGUGCUCGAGUGGCGAACGGGUGAGUAACACGUGAGUAACCUGCCCUGGACUUUGGGAUAACUUCAGGAAACUGGGGCUAAUACCGGAUAGGAGCUCCUGCCGCAUGGUGGGGGUUGGAAAGUUUCGGCGGUUGGGGAUGGACUCGCGGCUUAUCAGCUUGUUGGUGGGGUAGUGGCUUACCAAGGCUUUGACGGGUAGCCGGCCUGAGAGGGUGACCGGCCACAUUGGGACUGAGAUACGGCCCAGACUCCUACGGGAGGCAGCAGUGGGGAAUAUUGCACAAUGGGCGGAAGCCUGAUGCAGCAACGCCGCGUGCGGGAUGACGGCCUUCGGGUUGUAAACCGCUUUCGCCUGUGACGAAGCGUGAGUGACGGUAAUGGGUAAAGAAGCACCGGCUAACUACGUG
This 468-nucleotide ribosomal RNA is filed under the name uncultured bacterium. RNAcentral's name for it is "partial 16S ribosomal RNA". It matches the Rfam family "Bacterial small subunit ribosomal RNA", at positions 28 to 507 of the family's 1533-position model. The record is from RNAcentral.